This 709-nucleotide ribosomal RNA is filed under the name uncultured Conocybe. RNAcentral's name for it is "partial 28S ribosomal RNA". It matches the Rfam family "Eukaryotic large subunit ribosomal RNA", at positions 240 to 941 of the family's 3401-position model. Lineage: Eukaryota; Fungi; Basidiomycota; Agaricomycetes; Agaricales; Bolbitiaceae. The record is from RNAcentral.
UGCUUUGUGAUGCGCUCUCAAAGAGUCGAGUUGUUUGGGAAUGCAGCUCAAAAUGGGUGGUAAAUUCCAUCUAAAGCUAAAUAUUGGCGAGAGACCGAUAGCGAACAAGUACCGUGAGGGAAAGAUGAAAAGAACUUUGGAAAGAGAGUUAAACAGUACGUGAAAUUGCUGAAAGGGAAACGCUUGAAGUCAGUCGCGUUGGCUGGAAAUCAACCUUGCUUUUGCUGGGCGUACUUUCUAGUCAAUGGGUCAGCAUCAAUUUUGAUCAUUGGAAAAAGUUCAGUGGAAUGUGGCAUCCUCGGAUGUGUUAUAGCCUCUGUUCGUAUACAAUGGUUGGGAUUGAGGAAUUCAGCACGCCGCAAGGCCGGGUCUUUGACCACGUUCGUGCUUAGGAUGCUGGCAUAAUGGCUUUAAUCGACCCGUCUUGAAACACGGACCAAGGAGUCUAACAUGCCUGCGAGUGUUUGGGUGGAAAACCCGAGCGCGUAAUGAAAGUGAAAGUUGAGAUCCCUGUCGUGGGGAGCAUCGACGCCCGGACCAGAACUUUUGGGACGGAUCCGCGGUAGAGCAUGUAUGUUGGGACCCGAAAGAUGGUGAACUAUGCCUGAAUAGGGUGAAGCCAGAGGAAACUCUGGUGGAGGCUCGUAGCGAUUCUGACGUGCAAAUCGAUCGUCAAAUUUGGGUAUAGGGGCGAAAGACUAAUCGAACC